CAUGGAACCAGUAUAUUUUCACAUCUCACUCUGAGAAUUAAGGAUUUAUUUCGACCAAACCAGAGUUGGUAGAUGUUGGAACUGUGGAACGACUACCAAAAAUGAUUUUGCUCUCCUCGCUGCUGUUCGAUGUGACAUAAUGCAGUUAUCACCAUGGAAAUCGCUCGGAGAUGGACCCUCUCUGGACAAUGUCAAGUCUCGCUCUCUCUCUGUAGAUUUGAUUCCAGGCUCGAGAGUGAAAGCGCCUACACAGUGUGAGAAGUCAAAUUCAAGGGCAGGAUUUUCUCCUGAUCCCUUCUGGCUUUUGCUUCUGAUGGAAUCCUUUUGAAGGGCACUUUGGAAAUAAUUACCCAUCUGAAAGGAGAAGUUUUGAGAGGAUGAAUGGUGUUUCUGCGACCUCUGAAGGUCCGACAGGUAUAUAAACAUGUCACAGACACUCUCACAUGACCGGCUGUACCGUUCAGGUGCAGUAUUGUAAGGCUUACAUUAUCCUUUGUGAAGCUUUUGUUCAUAAUGUGCUGUAAUAAU
Centropristis striata (black sea bass) is the source of this 528-nucleotide long non-coding RNA. RefSeq lists it as uncharacterized. The transcript is spliced from 3 exons. Lineage: Eukaryota; Metazoa; Chordata; Actinopteri; Perciformes; Serranidae. The record is from RefSeq and is a predicted model, not a curated record.